UACAGAGGUCUCAAGCGUUGUUCGGAAUCACUGGGCGUAAAGGGCGCGUAGGCGGUUGGAUAAGUCUUGUGUGAAAUCUUCGGGCUCAACUCGAAGUCUGCACGAGAAACUAUCUGGCUUGAGUGUGGGAGAGGUGAGUGGAAUUCCUGGUGUAGCGGUGAAAUGCGUAGAUAUCAGGAGGAACACCUGUGGCGAAAGCGGCUCACUGGACCACAACUGACGCUGAGGCGCGAAAGCUAGGGGAGCAAACAGG
Molecule: ribosomal RNA, 253 nt
Filed under: uncultured bacterium
Lineage: Bacteria
Description: partial 16S ribosomal RNA
Rfam family: Bacterial small subunit ribosomal RNA
Source: RNAcentral